This 509-nucleotide ribosomal RNA is filed under the name uncultured bacterium. Its description in RNAcentral is "bacterial SSU rRNA". It matches the Rfam family "Bacterial small subunit ribosomal RNA", at positions 16 to 518 of the family's 1533-position model. The record is from RNAcentral.
AUUCUGGCUCAGGAUGAACGCUAGCGACAGGCUAACACAUGCAAGUCGAGGGGCAGCAUAAAAGUAGCAAUACUUGGUGGCGACCGGCGCACGGGUGAGUAACGCGUAUGCAACCUACCUAUCAGAGGGGAAUAACCCGGCGAAAGUCGGACUAAUACCGCAUAAAACAGGGACACCGCAUGGUGAUAUUUGUUAAAGAAAUUCGCUGAUAGAUGGGCAUGCGUUCCAUUAGGUAGUUGGUGAGGUAACGGCUCACCAAGCCGACGAUGGAUAGGGGAACUGAGAGGUUGGUCCCCCACACUGGUACUGAGACACGGACCAGACUCCUACGGGAGGCAGCAGUGAGGAAUAUUGGUCAAUGGGCGAGAGCCUGAACCAGCCAAGUCGCGUGAAAGGAAGAAGGAUCUAUGGUUCGUAAACUUCUUUUGCAGGGGAAUAAAGUGCAGGACGUGUCCUGUUUUGUAUGUACCCUGAGAAUAAGGAUCGGCUAACUCCGUGCCAGCAGCCGC